This 506-nucleotide ribosomal RNA is filed under the name uncultured bacterium. RNAcentral's name for it is "partial 16S ribosomal RNA". It matches the Rfam family "Bacterial small subunit ribosomal RNA", at positions 30 to 523 of the family's 1533-position model. The record is from RNAcentral.
AUUGUACGCUGGCGGCAUGCCUAACACAUGCAAGUCGAACGGCAGCGCGGUGGUGGUAACACUACUGGCGGCGAGUGGCGGACGGGUGAGGAAUACAUCGGAAUCUACUCUGUCGUGGGGGAUAACGUAGGGAAACUUACGCUAAUACCGCAUACGACCUACGGGUGAAAGCAGGGGAUCUUCGGACCUUGCGCGAUUGAAUGAGCCGAUGUCGGAUUAGCUAGUUGGCGGGGUAAAGGCCCACCAAGGCGACGAUCCGUAGCUGGUCUGAGAGGAUGAUCAGCCACACUGGAACUGAGACACGGUCCAGACUCCUACGGGAGGCAGCAGUGGGGAAUAUUGGACAAUGGGCGCAAGCCUGAUUCAGCCAUACCGCGUGGGUGAAGAAGGCCUUCGGGUUGUAAAGCCCUUUUGUUGGGAAAGAAAUCCAGCUGGCUAAUACCCGGUUGGGAUGACGGUACCCAAAGAAUAAGCACCGGCUAACUUCGUGCCAGCCGCCGCAGUAA